This 465-nucleotide ribosomal RNA is filed under the name Vreelandella stevensii. RNAcentral describes it as "partial 16S ribosomal RNA". It matches the Rfam family "Bacterial small subunit ribosomal RNA", at positions 338 to 795 of the family's 1533-position model. The record is from RNAcentral. Lineage: Bacteria; Pseudomonadati; Pseudomonadota; Gammaproteobacteria; Oceanospirillales; Halomonadaceae.
CCUACGGGUGGCAGCAGUGGGGAAUAUUGGACAAUGGGCGAAAGCCUGAUCCAGCCAUGCCGCGUGUGUGAAGAAGGCCUUCGGGUUGUAAAGCACUUUCAGUGGGGAAGAAAGCCUUGGGGCUAAUACCCUCGAGGAAGGACAUCACCCACAGAAGAAGCACCGGCUAACUCCGUGCCAGCAGCCGCGGUAAUACGGAGGGUGCGAGCGUUAAUCGGAAUUACUGGGCGUAAAGCGCACGUAGGCGGUCUGAUAAGCCGGUUGUGAAAGCCCCGGGCUCAACCUGGGAACGGCAUCCGGAACUGUCAGGCUAGAGUGCAGGAGAGGAAGGUAGAAUUCCCGGUGUAGCGGUGAAAUGCGUAGAGAUCGGGAGGAAUACCAGUGGCGAAGGCGGCCUUCUGGACUGACACUGACGCUGAGGUGCGAAAGCGUGGGUAGCAAACAGGAUUAGAUACCCUAGUAGUC